This 492-nucleotide ribosomal RNA is filed under the name uncultured bacterium. RNAcentral's name for it is "partial 16S ribosomal RNA". It matches the Rfam family "Bacterial small subunit ribosomal RNA", at positions 29 to 507 of the family's 1533-position model. The record is from RNAcentral.
AGUGAACGCUGGCGGUAGGCCUAACACAUGCAAGUCGAACGGCAGCACAGUAAGAGCUUGCUCUUACGGGUGGCGAGUGGCGGACGGGUGAGGAAUGCAUCGGAAUCUACUUUUUCGUGGGGGAUAACGUAGGGAAACUUACGCUAAUACCGCAUACGACCUACGGGUGAAAGCAGGGGAUCUUCGGACCUUGCGCGAUUGAAUGAGCCGAUGUCGGAUUAGCUAGUUGGCGGGGUAAAGGCCCACCAAGGCGACGAUCCGUAGCUGGUCUGAGAGAAUGAUCAGCCACACUGGAACUGAGACACGGGCCAGACUCCUACGGGAGGCAGCAGUGGUGAAGAUUGGACAAUGGGCGCAAGCCUGAUCCAGCAAUACAGCGUGUGUGAAAAAGACCUUCGGGUUUUAAAGCCCUUUUGUUGGGAAAGAAAAGCAGCAGGUUAAUACCCCGCUGUUCUGACGGUACCCAAAUAAUAAGCACCGGCUAACUUCGUG